AGAGUUUGAUCCUGGCUCAGGAUGAACGCUGGCGGCGUGCCUAACACAUGCAAGUCGAACGAAGAGGCCCCUUCGGGGGUACUUCAGUGGCGGACGGGUGAGUAACACGUAGGCGACCUGCCCCGAAGCAGGGAAUAACGGCUCGAAAGGGCCGCUAAUACCCAAAAGGGUCGCGUGUCAAAGCGCGAUCAGAGUUACGGCGUUUCGGGAGGGGCCUGCGGCCCAUCAGCUAGUUGGUAGGGUAAUGGCCUACCAAGGCGACGACGGGUAGGGGGCCUGAGAGGGUGAUCCCCCACAUUGGCACUGACACACGGGCCAAACUCCUACGGGAGGCAGCAGUGAGGAAUAUUGCGCAAUGAGCGAAAGCUAGACGCAGCAACGCCGCGUGGACGAUGAAGGCCUUCGGGUCGUAAAGUCCUUUUCAGGGGGACGAGAGAGGACGGUACCCCUGGAAUAAGUCACGGCUAACUACGUGCCAGCAGCCGCGGUAAAACGUAGGUGGCGAGCGUUAUCCGGAUUCACUGGGCGUAAAGCGCCUGCAGGCGGUCUCGUAAGUGGGAUGUGAAAUCUCCUGGCUUAACUGGGAGGGGCCAUUCCAUACUGCGGGACUUGAGGGCAGAAGAGGGAAGCGGAAUUCCCGGUGUAGUGGUGAAAUGCGUAGAUAUCGGGAGGAACACCAGUGGCGAAGGCGGCUUCCUGGUCUGCUCCUGACGCUAAGAGGCGAAAGCUAGGGGAGCGAACGGGAUUAGAAACCCCGGUAGUCCUAGCCGUAAACGAUGGAUGCUAGGUGUAGGUGGUCCUAACCCCAUCUGUGCCGAAGCUAACGCGUUAAGCAUCCCGCCUGGGGACUACGGCCGCAAGGUUAAAACUCAAAGGAAUUGACGGGGGCCCGCACAAGCAGCGGAGCGUGUGGUUUAAUUCGAUGCUACACGAAGAACCUUACCCAGGUUUGACAUGCAGGUAGUAGUGAAGCGAAA
This 977-nucleotide ribosomal RNA is filed under the name alkali sediment metagenome. Its description in RNAcentral is "bacterial SSU rRNA". It matches the Rfam family "Bacterial small subunit ribosomal RNA", at positions 8 to 1006 of the family's 1533-position model. The record is from RNAcentral.